GAUUAUCUAUCUUUAAGGUAAAGUGUAUGUUUUGAAAGCAUAUUAAAAGAGUUCGAUUCUCUUGAUAAUCU
RNAcentral lists this transfer RNA (71 nucleotides) under Lysmata debelius (fire shrimp). RNAcentral describes it as "tRNA-Ser". It matches the Rfam family "tRNA". From Rfam's summary of the family: Transfer RNA (tRNA) molecules are approximately 80 nucleotides in length. Their secondary structure includes four short double-helical elements and three loops (D, anti-codon, and T loops). Further hydrogen bonds mediate the characteristic L-shaped molecular structure. tRNAs have two regions of fundamental functional importance: the anti-codon, which is responsible for specific mRNA codon recognition, and the 3' end, to which the tRNAs corresponding amino acid is attached (by aminoacyl-tRNA synthetases). tRNAs cope with the degeneracy of the genetic code in two manners: having more than one tRNA (with a specific anti-codon) for a particular amino acid; and 'wobble' base-pairing, i.e. permitting non-standard base-pairing at the 3rd anti-codon position. Lineage: Eukaryota; Metazoa; Arthropoda; Malacostraca; Decapoda; Hippolytidae. The record is from RNAcentral.